ACCUCAGAAGGAAGGGAAAUAGAAGGCUGCUCUGGGCCUCUUCAUGGACCCUUUCUGGGCCCCCUAUUUUUUUCUGCCUGAGCCAGGAAGCCCACACUCCCUUAUCUUCUGCCCCUCCCCCACAGCCAUCUGCUUAAAGGAAGUGGCUCUUUAGUUCUUCACAGGAAGCCACAGGCCUCCUCUGCUUCAGCUCCCUCCAGCUACCGCUGACCCAGGCCCUUUGCUGGCCCAGGCCCCCUUCAAGGCUGAGUCCAGAGAUGCCCUGUACCUGGCAUCAUUCUCUGCUACCCAGUCAAGGAGACUGUUCUUUUCAUUUCCUUGUGUGGACUGUUCUUUUCAUUUCCUUUCAAUCUCUGUGGCCCAGAUCUGGAAGCACAGGCUGUAGACCUGGAGGCAGAAGUCCGCUGUCUACCCGUCUGUGGAAGGCCCCAGCCGAGGCGGGACUCUGCAGAGGUCCUAUGGUCUGGUCUGGCCUUCCUUUCCCACCCAGAGGGUGUAAAGCCUCCGUAUGCCAACUGUCCACUUUAUCCCACUUUAUCUUGGAGGGAAGAAGACCUUGCCGAGGUCCCUCGAAAAGCUGCUGUCACACACUUCCCCAAGGCAAAGGUCAUUGAUGAGCGUGACAGAAAGCUCUCGACUACAAUUGGAAGGAAGGGUUUCCUGGGAGCCUCCGCCUACUCCUCCUCCUCCACUUCCUCCUCCUUCUCCCGGCU
Long non-coding RNA from Prionailurus viverrinus (fishing cat), 713 nucleotides. RefSeq lists it as uncharacterized. The transcript is spliced from 4 exons. The record is from RefSeq and is a predicted model, not a curated record. Lineage: Eukaryota; Metazoa; Chordata; Mammalia; Carnivora; Felidae.